Schistocerca americana (American grasshopper) is the source of this 1330-nucleotide long non-coding RNA. RefSeq lists it as uncharacterized. NCBI's taxonomy places the organism in Eukaryota, Metazoa, Arthropoda, Insecta, Orthoptera, Acrididae. The record is from RefSeq and is a predicted model, not a curated record. The transcript is spliced from 5 exons.
CUGCUUCUGUUUGCUCCCCAGUGCCGACAGCGGACAAUGCAGCCGGCGGGCGUAAUUGCCACAGUGGUAGCUCUGCUUGCAGCAAACGGGACAUCGGUGCUGGAUUGCGUCUGCUGGCACCUCAACAAUGUUACUGACUCUGGCGGAAUCUUUGAAGACAACGUUAAAAAAACGAUAAAAUGGUUCUACUGUAAUUAUGAAGUUUGGUCACCGGACUUCGUAACGUGCUACAGCCGGGAGCAGCCGUCCCCCGCGGUCUCAGGUGCGCGGCGCCUGGAAGACCGCCUCUUGCACUCCGGACUGCUGCCGCCGCCAGCAGGUGGAGCGUUGGAGGGAGGGGGGUGCGCCGCCGCCCUGGCGCAGCUCCGCCGCGUCCCGUAUUCUGAAUACCGGGAAUUCCUCGAGGAGCUCGACUGCCGGAUCGCUGACGACUGUAUCGACUCCCGCUGUGUACCGAGGGCACAUUUGUGAGACCCAAAGAGGAAGCGCGCUAAUACCUUCUGCCGCCGCCUCUUCUGUUGACACUUUCCACCGAGCAGUCACCAAAUGGCACAGGAGAGACAUGGCAGCGUCUUGAAAACGUGGUAUUAUAGUGGAAGUGCUGCUCGUGAUUAUGGCGCCAUGGAGCAGACGGUGAGCCAUGUUGUGGGGGAGCGCCCACUCCAUGCCUUUGAAGGCGGUCUGCUGUGCUUGUCCAAUCAUAGUUCUGGCUGCAUGUUUGUAUGUGAAUUCUUGUACUUCAUCAGAAACGAUCAGUUCACCAGAAUAUGUAAGCAGACUCGCAUACCAGCCGUAAUGUAAGCCAUAAUUCCUGACACCUCGAUUCGUCUCUAAUGGGCUGGCGACCUCUAUCAAUGGGAAACGUGAAAGCUGGAGAAGGGCAAGUUGAGUUUAGUUUUCACUAUUCUAUUCUACAAAAUACAGUCAAGUUUCAGAAUAUCAUCUGUCACAUAAGCUGACUCCAUUUUAUUUUGAAAGGUUGAACAACAUGGAAUGGAACAUGACAACGCUGCAAACGGAUGAUCUGAGGCAUCAUAUCCUGUCCCAGUCAGCGUAUGCUGUUCGACGCAUCACAAAAGCCAUGGUCGGCAGGGUGAAUUGUGAGUGGUGGCGUCAAGUUGAGUUUGAAUGGAGGAAUAAACGUGAACUGCAGGCCCAGGCGGCUGUUUUCUGGGAACGACUCUCCAGCUACUGGCGGGACUUGGCGCAGCUGCUCUCACAUGGUGCGACGCACGCCUCGGAGCUGUUGGUUCCCCUCGCAUUCGAACGUAUGGGUAACCACGCAAGUGAUCAGCAACUCCACGGUUGGAUUAAGGACAUGGAACGUGUG